This 258-nucleotide unclassified non-coding RNA is filed under the name fungal sp. RNAcentral's name for it is "partial internal transcribed spacer region". The stretch from base 1 to 45 matches the Rfam family "Eukaryotic small subunit ribosomal RNA", at positions 1787 to 1831 of the family's 1831-position model. Lineage: Eukaryota; Fungi. The record is from RNAcentral.
AGUCGUAACAAGGUUUCCGUAGGUGAACCUGCGGAAGGAUCAUUAACAAAUCAUUUGUGCGCUUCGGCGCAUAUAAACCCGAACCCGUGCAGCAAUGCCGGGCUAGGUGUGCAUUCUCAUUCACAUGAGGGUGUACGGCCGAGACUUUGAGUACGCAAGUGCUCAGGUCAACAGCCACAUAGACGCUUGUAUGUUUUGACAGAGUUUAGUUGACAUCUUUAAAAAUGACAACUUUUAACAAUGGAUCUCUUGGCUCUU